Molecule: non-coding RNA, 27 nt
Filed under: Mus musculus (house mouse)
Lineage: Eukaryota; Metazoa; Chordata; Mammalia; Rodentia; Muridae
Source: RNAcentral
UCACACAUAUGCUGAGGGCCUAUCCUA